AUAUUUAAUUGCUCUUUACAUUAAUAUUGAAAAAUACCACAUUUCUAAGAGCAAGGCAAGUAGAAGACAAAGGAGUAAUAAUAAGUGACACAUGAACCAAAGGUUUCGUUCAUCAACUCCCAAUGUUAUUUUUUUCAUGGGUUAUAAACUAAUAAAAUGAAAGUGGGGUUAAAAUGCAAGUCCCUGUACUUUUACAAUUCUGGAUUGACUCUGAAUAAUUUCUUGGUAUGUCUUAAGGUAUUUUUCUCAAGAGCUACUUUCUUUUGAUUUCCAAAGAGACAAGCUAAACAACAGCUUCAUGAUCCU
This is a long non-coding RNA of Pipistrellus kuhlii (Kuhl's pipistrelle), 306 nucleotides long. RefSeq lists it as uncharacterized. Lineage: Eukaryota; Metazoa; Chordata; Mammalia; Chiroptera; Vespertilionidae. The record is from RefSeq and is a predicted model, not a curated record. The transcript has 2 exons.